RNAcentral lists this ribosomal RNA (253 nucleotides) under uncultured bacterium. RNAcentral describes it as "partial 16S ribosomal RNA". It matches the Rfam family "Bacterial small subunit ribosomal RNA", at positions 524 to 776 of the family's 1533-position model. The record is from RNAcentral.
UACGAGGGGCCCAAGCGUUAUUCGGAUUUACUGGGCUUAAAGCGUUCGUAGGCGGCUUGGUAAGUGGGGUGUGAAAGCCCUCGGCUCAACCGAGGAAUUGCGCUCCAAACUACCGAGCUUGAGUAGGCUAGAGGUGAGCAGAACUGAUGGUGGAGCGGUGAAAUGCGUUGAUAUCAUCAGGAAUACCGGAGGCGAAGGCGGCUCACUGGGACCUAACUGACGCUGAGGAACGAAAGCUAGGGGAGCAAACGGG